This 318-nucleotide unclassified non-coding RNA is filed under the name Polistes dominula (European paper wasp). RNAcentral describes it as "uncharacterized LOC107064942, transcript variant X1". Lineage: Eukaryota; Metazoa; Arthropoda; Insecta; Hymenoptera; Vespidae. The record is from RNAcentral.
GGAAAGUGUUGUGCCGUUUAUGGUUGCCUUAGUGACCGAAAGGCAAGUGAGAAUUUAGAAAAUGUGGCUUUAUUCAAAGCACCAAAAAUUAUCUCUUAAACUUCUCGAUAUUGCUGAGUUGAAAACGUUUGAGCUUUCUAAAAGUUUCCUUAAACUUUUAUUUAAUUUCACGUUUUUCAAAAUAUUUUUUUUCAAAGCUGUCAAUAGCAACAAAACUUCCCGCGUAAGUAUUUAAACGAGUACUUCUUGAAAAGUAGCACGCCUUACCAGCAGAAUAUCUUGUCCCCUAAAUUGAUGCCGUUCUUUCAACAUUACGUU